CACCUGCUUGCCGCACAUCUCCCCCAGUCAUUAUCAUUAGGCAUACUGUAAAAGGGUGACUAUUGUUCUUGCGCAGCAGGCUUGUCUAAACGCACGCGGCUCCCAGGCGCCAGGGUCGUCUGAAACUCUUUUCACGGUACUUAUAGUUUCAAAACUCGGAAUUUUGGCGCUAUUUAGCAUUCUAUUCAGGUGUAAAUAACGGGUGUUGAAGGCGUUUUUUUGAAAUGCAGACGUGUAAAAUUUGCAUCUCAUUCAGGAGCAUCAGUUUCGUUCAUGUUGAGAUACGCCACCCACAACAGUCGAGAUUUUCUAGCCAUUUUUUUGUUCCCUCCACCAGAAUCAUUAAACGGGCUACGCGCCUUUGGCUGCGUGCGGAGCUUCCAUGGAAAACCCAAUCUGGAUGCAGAGCGCAGGAGCAGCAUGGGACUUCCAGCCAGAGCGGGAGGCAGAGCGAGUUUGAGACGUUUCCUCCCUGGACCACUCAGGAAGCACGUUGGGCUCCUUUUCCUGCUCACACGCGGCCAGAUUCAAACAGAAUCAAAGAAUGAUAGCAUUGAGUCUCACCAUCUCCUGUUAGGAAAAGAA
Long non-coding RNA from Osmerus eperlanus (European smelt), 585 nucleotides. RefSeq lists it as uncharacterized. The transcript is spliced from 3 exons. The record is from RefSeq and is a predicted model, not a curated record. NCBI's taxonomy places the organism in Eukaryota, Metazoa, Chordata, Actinopteri, Osmeriformes, Osmeridae.